GCCGUGAUGACUGUUUGGUUUUGAUCAGCAAUGAGCUGAAACAAUAAAACCGAUUCCUCUAAGAAGUUCUGAGCUC
This is a small nucleolar RNA of Myripristis murdjan (pinecone soldierfish), 76 nucleotides long. Ensembl annotates it as small nucleolar RNA SNORD61. Lineage: Eukaryota; Metazoa; Chordata; Actinopteri; Holocentriformes; Holocentridae. The record is from Ensembl.